RNAcentral lists this ribosomal RNA (644 nucleotides) under Varuna litterata. RNAcentral describes it as "partial 16S ribosomal RNA". The stretch from base 405 to 564 matches the Rfam family "Bacterial large subunit ribosomal RNA", at positions 2473 to 2632 of the family's 2925-position model. The record is from RNAcentral. Lineage: Eukaryota; Metazoa; Arthropoda; Malacostraca; Decapoda; Varunidae.
GUCUGUUUGGAGUUAUAAAAAGUUUAACCUGCCCCCUGACUAGUAAUAAGAAGUUAAAUGGCCGCGGUAUUUUGACCGUGCAAAGGUAGCAUAAUCGUUAGUUUUUUAAUUGGAAUCUUGUAUGAAUGGUUGGACAAAAGAAAAUCUGUCUUUGUAUUAUUAAUUGAAUUUAACUUUUGAGUGAAAAGGCUUAAAUAAAUUGAAGUGACGAUAAGACCCUAUAAAACUUUAUAUAAACAUAUUAUUUGAUUGAAUUUAAAAUAAAAAUUUAAUAAUAAAAUUUAUUUUGUUGGGGCGAUAAAAGUAAAAUUUUUAUUAACUGCUUUAAGUUUUGAAUACAUUUAUGUUUGAUUAAAAUUUUUAGAUGAUCCUAAAUAAAGAUUAAAAGUUUAAGUUACUUUAGGGAUAACAGCGUUAUUUUUUUUGAGAGUACUUAUCGAAAAAAAAGUUUGCGACCUCGAUGUUGAAUUAAAAUUUCUUUAUAAUUGCAGUAGUUAUAAAAGUAGGUCUGUUCGACCUUUAAAAUUUUACAUGAUUUGAGUUCAAACCGGCGUGAGCCAGGUUGGUUUCUAUCUUUUAAAAAAAAAAAAUUAUUUUAGUACGAAAGGAUUAAAUAAUUAAAAUUAUUUUAAAAUUUAUGGCUA